GACGGAGGAUGCAAGUGUUAUCCGGAAUCACUGGGCGUAAAGCGUCUGUAGGUGGUUUAAAAAGUCCACUGUUAAAGAUUAAAGCUUAACUUCAAAAAUGCCGUGGAAACUUUUAAACUUGAGUAUGAUAGGGGUAGAGGGAAUUUCCAGUGGAGCGGUGAAAUGCGUAGAUAUUGGAAAGACCACCAAUGGCGAAGGCACUCUACUGGGCCGACACUGACACUGAGAGACGAAAGCUAGGGGAGCGAAUGGG
RNAcentral lists this ribosomal RNA (253 nucleotides) under uncultured bacterium. RNAcentral's name for it is "partial 16S ribosomal RNA". It matches the Rfam family "Bacterial small subunit ribosomal RNA", at positions 524 to 776 of the family's 1533-position model. The record is from RNAcentral.